Molecule: ribosomal RNA, 253 nt
Filed under: uncultured bacterium
Lineage: Bacteria
Description: partial 16S ribosomal RNA
Rfam family: Bacterial small subunit ribosomal RNA
Source: RNAcentral
UACGUAGGGGGCAAGCGUUGUCCGGAAUCAUUGGGCGUAAAGCGCGCGUAGGCGGUCAGGUAAGUCCGGUGUGAAAGUCAAAGGCUCAACCUUUGAAUGCCGCUGGAUACUGCUUGACUUGAGUCCGGAAGGGGCGAGUGGAAUUCCUGGUGUAGCGGUGAAAUGCGCAGAUAUCAGGAGGAACACCAAUGGCGAAGGCAGCUCGCUGGAACGGUACUGACGCUGAGGCGCGAAAGCGUGGGGAGCGAACAGG